Molecule: unclassified non-coding RNA, 702 nt
Filed under: Melitaea cinxia (Glanville fritillary)
Lineage: Eukaryota; Metazoa; Arthropoda; Insecta; Lepidoptera; Nymphalidae
Description: misc RNA ENSMCXG00005011843.1
Source: RNAcentral
CCGCCCGAAGAAUAACAUUCAACCCUCACUACUUCCACUCUGAGGCUGAACUGUCCUCUCACCUCUCUUCCCUCCCCAAUCCCAUCCCAACCAUCUUCACAGACGGCAGCAAACUCGAUGACGGCUCGGUCGGUGCCGCCUUCGUAUGUUACAACGGAGCGGGUCCGCCGGCCGUCAAGAAGUUCAUACUUCAUCGAAGUUGUUCAGUCUUUCAGGCUGAACUCUUCGCUAUCCUCCAGGCCUCUCGAUGGGCCUCCAAGCACAGACACACACACACACUCAUCUUGUCGGACUCCAGAGCGGCCAUCCAAGCCUCCCAGAAUCGUAGCAAUACACACCCCUUGGUUGCACACCUUCACGCCACACUACACGAUCACUCACCCACCGGCUGUAUCGACUUUGCUUGGGUCAAAGCCCAUGCAGGUAUAACCGGGAACGAACGUGCAGACACCGAAGCAAAACUCGCCGCUACCAUGCACAGAGCCUUCGACUACGAUCUCUUCCCCAUAAGCUUUGUUAAGCUUAUGGCCAGAGAGCGUAGUCUCACCGAAUGGCGCGAGAGGUACGAGAAGGCACAACAGGGCCAACACACCCGCGACCUCCUCCCCACAUUAGACCACAUAUACACACUACUCAAAUCCACACACAUCACAUUCACACUCACUCAGACACUCACCGGACACGCCUUUAAUAAAACAUAUC